Caenorhabditis brenneri is the source of this 70-nucleotide non-coding RNA. The record is from the annotation of a GenBank genome assembly. Lineage: Eukaryota; Metazoa; Nematoda; Chromadorea; Rhabditida; Rhabditidae.
ACGCGCGGCCUAGUGGUUAGCGCUGUUGCUUUUGAAUCUGAGGUCCGGGGUUCGACUCCCGGUGGGGGUA